RNAcentral lists this ribosomal RNA (867 nucleotides) under uncultured organism. RNAcentral's name for it is "bacterial SSU rRNA". It matches the Rfam family "Bacterial small subunit ribosomal RNA", at positions 23 to 920 of the family's 1533-position model. The record is from RNAcentral.
CUCAGGACGAACGCUGGCGGCGUGCCUAAUGCAUGCAAGUCGCACGACCCAGACUUCGGUCUGGAGAGUGGCGCACGGCUGAGGAACACGUGGGUAACCUACCCCGGCGUGGGGGACAACGGCCCGAAAGGGUCGCUAAUCCCGCAUACGCUCCUACGGGAGGAAAGCAGUGAUGCGCGCUGGGAUGGGCCUGCGGCCCAUCAGGUCGUUGGUGGGGUAAUGGCUCACCAAGCCAAUGACGGGUCCCUGGUCUGAGAGGACGACCAGGCAGACUGGGACUGAGACACGGCCCAGACUCCUACGGGAGGCAGCAGCAAGGAAUUUUCCGCAAUGGGCGCAAGCCUGACGGAGCAACGCCGCGUGCCGGAUGACGGCCUUCGGGUUGUAAACGGCUUUUAUCGGGGAAGAAACGGACGGUACCCGGUGAAUAAGCCCCGGCUAACUCCGUGCCAGCAGCCGCGGUAAUACGGAGGGGGCAAGCGUUGUCCGGACUUACUGGGCGUAAAGCGUGCGUAGGCGGCAGCGUGCGUCGGGACUGAAAGCGCCCCACUUAACGGGGCGAGGUGUCUCGAUACGACGCAGCUCGAGGCAGUGAGAGGUUGGUAGAAUUCCGGGUGUAGUUGUGAAAUGCGUAGAUAUCCGGAGGAAUGCCGGUGGCGUAAGCGACCAACUGGCACUGGCCUGACGCUGAGGCACGAAAGCGUGGGGAGCAAACCGGAUUAGAUACCCGGGUAGUCCACGCCGUAAACGAUGUCGGCUUGGUGUAUGGGGGUGUGAAAGCAUCCUUGAGUACCGUAGCUCACGCGAUAAGCCGACCGACUGGGGACUACGAGCGCAAGCUUAAAACUCAAAGGAAUUGACGGGGGC